UACAUGGGGUGCAAACGUUGCUCGGAAUUAUUGGGCGUAAAGAGCGUGUAGGCGGCCAUACAGGUCCGUUGUGAAAACUGGAGGCUUAACCUCCAGACGUCGAUGGAAACCGUAUGGCUAGAGUCCGGAAGAGGAGAGUGGAAUUCCUGGUGUAGCGGUGAAAUGCGCAGAUAUCAGGAAGAACACCCGUGGCGAAGGCGGCUCUCUGGGACGGUACUGACGCUGAGACGCGAAAGCGUGGGGAGCGAACAGG
RNAcentral lists this ribosomal RNA (253 nucleotides) under uncultured bacterium. RNAcentral's name for it is "partial 16S ribosomal RNA". It matches the Rfam family "Bacterial small subunit ribosomal RNA", at positions 524 to 776 of the family's 1533-position model. The record is from RNAcentral.